Molecule: long non-coding RNA, 296 nt
Filed under: Amborella trichopoda
Lineage: Eukaryota; Viridiplantae; Streptophyta; Magnoliopsida; Amborellales; Amborellaceae
Description: long non-coding RNA (ATRI_LNC004764)
Source: RNAcentral
AAUAAUAGAAUUAUGGAUAAUGCAUCUAUCUCAGAAACUUCAAGUAAUCAUUCUUUUCGAGAUCCAGAACCCCCAAGAAAAUCCAUUACUUCUUAUACUAGAAUUCCUUCAAUAAUAAGUAUUCCAUCAACACCAAAACCACAGAUUGAUGGACUUCUGUGAACAUCUGAUAAUAUCAUUAUACCCCAAUAUAGAAAAGCUGAAGAAGAACCUGCUGAGGCAGAAUUCGUUCAAGUAUUACAGCUUGAAGAAACAUUCACCCGAGAUGAUAUUAUCAAAGAUUUUUUAUCUCCAGA